CCCGCCGCCAUCCUCUUCUCAUCUCUUCUCUCCUUGCUCCCUCCCGUCUCUUCUCACCGGCGAGAACGGCGAGACAAAUCGUCGCCUCUCUCUCGUCUCUCCAAUCAACGAAAGUUCGCUGCUCUGUCUCUCCCUCAACUGCUCCGGCCAGCGAGCUCCAAGCAAUCAACAUCAGCAGCCGGCGAGGAGAGCAAUAACAUCUCCGGCCAACUGACCCCGACCUCGAUCCACUGCCCUUCUCCUUUAAUUGAAGGCAACUGAGGAAGCUCAACAUCUAAAAAAGUUGAUACAAGACUAUAUUGCUUCUUUCAUCAAAGUAGAAGAUAAGAAUGACUUUCAUAAGUACGUCGCUGAGAAUCUAGAUAGUUCGGUUCAAUUGACACUUGAGUUGUCCACUC
Solanum stenotomum is the source of this 398-nucleotide long non-coding RNA. RefSeq lists it as uncharacterized. The record is from RefSeq and is a predicted model, not a curated record. Lineage: Eukaryota; Viridiplantae; Streptophyta; Magnoliopsida; Solanales; Solanaceae. The transcript is spliced from 3 exons.